This 755-nucleotide long non-coding RNA is filed under the name Cervus hanglu yarkandensis (Yarkand deer). Its description in RNAcentral is "lncRNA (ENSCHYG00000023212.1)". The record is from RNAcentral. Lineage: Eukaryota; Metazoa; Chordata; Mammalia; Artiodactyla; Cervidae.
GGACUGCCUGGCCCCCCAGGCCCUAGGGGGCUGCCGGGGCCCAAGGGGGAGCGAGGAGAGAAGGUGAGUGUGCAGAGUCUGGAGUCCGGGCCGACCCUGGGGGAACACAGGGAGGCACUGACCCCCACGCUGCCUGAGCCGUCAGCCACGUGGCCUGUCCUCCCUUGCAGGGAGAGCCACAGUCCCUGGCCACCAUCUACCAGCUUGUGGGCCAGGCCUGCGAGUCCGCCAUCCAGGCACACGUGCUGAAGCUCCAUGCCUGUACCCACGAGAGCACCCGGCCCCCCAUGCCCAUCUUGGAGGCCCCCAGGGCUCUUGGCACGAGCAGCAAGGCCCGGCUCCCCGGAGAAGUGGGGCAUGGUGGCUCCCGCCCUGGGGACAGAGGACGGUCCCCCUGCUGCCUCGAGUGAGCCCGCAUGUGCCCCUGGAUCCUGGACACCCGACAUCUGACCCCCGGAGCAGCUGGAGAAGAGGGUCCGGAGGUGCAGGGAGAAGCGGCAGAGACCGGGCCUAGAAACCUUCCCUCUGUGCGUCUCCUGUUCAGAUAAACAUGCCUGCUUGUUAAGGGAGGUGGCUGCUCAUUGCCAGGGACCCCCCCAUCCACCCCUUCCCCCACGGAGUGGAGUCCCAGAUUCCCUCCCCCACACGCCUCUCAGAGAGAGGCCGCCUUUUGUCCUUGGCCGUGAGGAUCCCCCCACCAUGGUCUCCCUCACCAGUUUCUUCCUGUGAGGCCACUGAAGCCUCCAGGCCCUGGU